AACUACUUGUACGCUAAUGGCGUAAUGUAUAAUUGGAAUUGAAUUAUUUCUGGAUUUACAAAGAAAAACAGCAAGACUUGCCGCAGCCAAAAGUAUAUCAACCGCUUUUAUAGCUUCGCAAAAGAAAGAAUCAUCAUCCUGGACAAUCAAGAACCAAUGGAUCAGAUUUUUUUCACCAAAACAUUUUUGUAUGCAUUGAAAAAGAAGUCAAAGUUACUUCUAUGAAAGAAUUACGAAACUUCUUAAUUUCUGUUAUCGUAUUUUGUUGGAGAUAGUUCUUGAUCGAUAAAAAAAGAGAUUAUACGCGAAGCGUGUGACGUACAGUAUGAAGAAAAGAAUUGUGAAGCUGUGACAGAUGAAUGUCCAAAAAAUAAUCUUUUAUAGGACCAAAUCUUUCUGUAAUAAUUGGAGCAUUUAAACCCGCAAAAAUUGUCGGUAUUCCCAGAGGUUUGAAAAAACUUGUUUCCUCAAAAAUGAAGAGUCUACGGUACACAGAACUUAUAUAUUAUAUUAUAUAGAAAUCCUUGGAAUGCGCCACUUCUGAGUCUAUUAAAAGUCUUUACAAUCAAUUACUUACCAUACAUGGCAGUAGUGUAAUAUAAAUUUGAAUGGAAUUAUUUCAGGACUUAGAAAGGUAUCAUAAUCGGAUAUAUGUGUAAUCGUCUUUAAUAUGAAUGGGUUUUUGAUAUAAUUGUACUUUGGACGGCUCAUGCUUCCUUAUCGAGUGCCUCUUUGUCAAGAGCUAACAAAGUUUCAUUUCAAUUUAAUCUCGA
Molecule: long non-coding RNA, 773 nt
Organism: Vespula vulgaris
Lineage: Eukaryota; Metazoa; Arthropoda; Insecta; Hymenoptera; Vespidae
Exons: 3
Source: RefSeq, a predicted model, not a curated record